This is a long non-coding RNA of Daphnia magna, 5605 nucleotides long. RefSeq lists it as uncharacterized. Lineage: Eukaryota; Metazoa; Arthropoda; Branchiopoda; Diplostraca; Daphniidae. The transcript is spliced from 7 exons. The record is from RefSeq and is a predicted model, not a curated record.
AUUCCCUUCGACAUUAAAUUUAAUAAUCAUUACUUUCCCGGUCGGGAUUUACCCUAGUGGGCAUGUGUCGAUUUUUCUUUUUGCUAAAUCAAAACCGAAUGCCUUUUAUUUGUUUUGCCCUCUUUUUGUUUAUGGCAUUAAUCAUUUAGUCACAAGGAUUCACACGCUUUCGAGUUUUGACGUUCUGUGAUUCCGAUUGCAUCCUUCACCAUUUGAAAGAGCGCUAAAAUAAAUAGUUCAUGAACAACUUAAAGAUAUGCACAGCUGCAGCGAGAUUACGCAAGUUGGUAUCUCUAGGUGAACGUGAUAUUUACGACUGCCAAGUAUGCGAAAGUGAAAUCGUAAAUUAGUUAACAGCCAAAUAACAAUAAAGGGUGGACAUGAAUUUUAACCAAAAGAAGACCACAGUGAACACCUCAUUUCUCUGCGUAAACAUCAGUACAUGACUCGACAUCUGUCUUCUCUUUUUUGUUUUCGGUUUUGGUUCUUUAAAUUCCCUCUUCAACUCAGUUGGUCAUCAGAUAUGCAUGACAUUCUUUACUCUCUAAAAUGACAUGUUCUCAAAUAUGUUUCACAAAUGGGCCUUUUGUGGUUACUUUCCCGAAUUACAUGCGUGUUUUCGUUGCUUUUCAUCGUAAAACAAUUUCCUAUCCAUCACAGAUAAUUGAAUUAAUUUUCGUCAGCGGAAUUUUUUGUUUUAAAGCUAACCCGUCCCCGUAUAGAGCCUAAGGUUGUUCGUUAUCCCUUCAAAAAUUGGGUUCGGCAACCCAAGUGUUACCUACCCACAUUACCGCCUCGAGGCGUCAAAGUGGGCAUGGCCGACCUCCUAUCCCUUUUACCAAGAUUUGGAAAGGUGUUUUGUAGAUUCACUUGAUUCACCGAAGCUUGCCUUAAGCUUCUAGUGUGGGAGGCGUCCAGUACACGAAUAAGGAUUCCUUUAUCCAUUUACAUCUACAGAUUGUUUGACAACACAAAAAUUCUUUUGUGACCUACAUCUAUAUGUGAGAACAAGGACCUACUGGAUGCAUCGAUUGUGAGUAUCUAAAAUCAAAACAAAAACUAGAGAAGCAAAUAAAAUUUUUUUCACGACAUAUUGGGAGAGAACUGGAUGUACAGAUGCCCUGUACAACUGCUGCUGCGAUUGCAAUCAACUGGAUAUCCAUCUUUCCAUCUGAGCAGCGUGCUGCAUUGAGAAAUAUUGCGGACCACUGUUAGUUGCUGUAGCUCAACCGCAGCAAUUUCUUAGUUUCAUACGCGAAAACAACCAAAAGUGCGAAGAAAAGAAACUAAACAGGGGCAAGGCUCUCAGGCAAGUGGAAAAUGAAGCGGUUCAAUCAUGUAUGUUUAAACCUGCCCUCUUUUAGGGACGCGGUGUUUAACAAACAAGAAGUUUAAGGAUGCUGCGUAACGAAAGAGAAGGUGCAAUGUCAUAUUUCAUCUUUUUCAUAAUAAAAGUGGAACGGGGCUUGCAUGGUACGUCUGAAUGAGGACCAAGCUUAAAGUAAACAAGAUGACAAUCCAAUUUGCAUACGUGCUGCUGGUACAAGAAAGUCGACUUUAGUCUACAAUGGAGCUGUGAAGAAUUCAUCUGUCUCUCCGAGGAUCCAGAACAUCUUAAUCAAAACUACACUUACUUGAAGUCGCACAUAUCUUUUAAAGCUUUGUGCAGUUGUGGAUGAUAGAACGCUGCUGAAAAUCACUGCUUUACAAAGAAAAUGUAGACAAUUGUGUUUGAAUAGUUCUCUUUUAAUAAUAACAAAAAGGAUAAUUGCAAUUUUUGCGAAUGUAAACAGAAAUAUUUACGAAAGGGGACAACUACUGUGGGAAAGUGAAGUACCGGAGUAUUCCGGUUAAGUAGCAUGCACCUCAAAGACUUAAACAGCAUCUUCAUUUCCUAUAGAUCCUCCAUACCCACCGGAUCCACCUCCUUGUGGUAAAUAAGGUGUCUGUAAAGGAACACUUGUUCGUGAUUGGAAUAAGGAACUGAUUCCAUCAGCUCCACCAGUAGUGUUACUGUCAUUACGUCCUGCAGUUACGAUUCUUUCGUGAUGAAUUUUCUGACGUUGCCCUAAUCAUACCGAUUUAGCAAUGUGGUGUAUUCUUGCUUGCGAUUGAACUAACCUUUCCCAUUUUCAUUUUCUUCUCCGUCAUAUGUUUUAAUGAAGUCGACUCCUGGUUCAAAAAGAUAAUCGUUUAGUUUUCACAAUUGGAUUGCCAAAUGUUGAAAACUCACCUCUGUCUUGUUUCGCGGUCUUGUUUGCUUCGACGCUGCAUUGAAUCAACAGUAAGAAGCAAACGAUCGAUAAUGUAAUCUGCAGAAAGACGGAAUACCGAAGACGGUGUUCAACUGCUGUUCAAUUCUUUGCGCAGCGGUUAUAAAUACAGCCAGGUGUUGCACCCAUUUUAAUAAAAAGGAAAAUUUGCCAACGUUCAUAUAUUACUCUUGAGCGUUAUUUUCUUUGUCACUUUUUUCUUCCCCCUAGGAUUUUUCUGCUGCGCUUAAUAACCCAAACAAAGGCAAUUAUUAAUGACGUGCAAUCUAUACCGCAACUUUCCAUUCGUUGUCUGCAGAAGAAAAAAGCAAAAAUAUCGGGGUUGUUACGUAUACGAUGCUGAUGCUUACCACUGUCCACUUCGUGUUCCAUUGAAGCGAACAAGGUAGACAAUAGACGGUCAUUAUCGUCUAAUUGAGAAAGUAGGCUAAACACAACUGAGGCAGUAGAUUCCUUGUUUUUGCUUUGCAUAAUUUGUUAACUCGCUGUAACAGUCAAGUGCGUAAGAGACUUGCACUAGCUACUUUUCACUUUCUAAUCGUGUCACGGUGAUCUGGUUUAAUCUCAUAAAAACAAAUAAUCUCAAUAAUUAGUUCACCAUUUGUAUUUGAUCUAUACAUUUCGAGCUAGUAAAUUGAUUAUCUCUAGUGUUCUUAGGAUGAAUGCAACUAAAAUCCCCUUCUUUCCACGUGAAAUCAUCAACAGGAAAACAUGCUAGCAGAAGAUUAGAUAAGAAAGUUAAAUGCUUCAGUAACCUCCUACAGCAUGAGAACUGCCAUAAGAGGAGACCGGAGCCUGAUGAUAAGACGGUGCAAUCGGAGCAGGAACGUAAGGGGCGCUUGCACCUCCACCGUAUCCGCUUGAAUGACCACCUCCGUAACCGCCUCCGUAAGAGGCAACUGGAGCCGGGUGAUAAUGGGUGACAGAUGCUGAUUGAUACGUUGGGAUUGGAGCUGAUGGAUGAACGUGAACGUAAACCGGUGCACCUGCUAAUGAAUGGAGACCUAUUACUCGGUUCACGCUUAUCAUUUUGGAACUAAUCUAAAGAGCAUAAGACUUUUUCAAUACCUGCGUGUGCUCCGUAUCCACCGGAUUGACCGAUUCCAUGACCUCCGUAAGAACCACCACCGCCUCCGUAACCUCCUCCUGAUAAUCCGUGGCUUCCACCAUAUCCUCCCCCGCCGUAAGAUGGAACGUGGACGGGAACAGGUUUGGGUGCUGGAACGUGAUAGAAAACUGGAUGAGGUGCAGGAACGAUAAUGACGUGCUGUUGUGCGGAGCCUCCGCCACCGUGUCCUCCGCCAUAACCUCCACCUCCAUAACCUCCUCCGUAGCUCAUUCCUCCUCCAUAUCCUCCGCCAUAUCCUCCACCUUUUUUCAAAGAAGUUAAACAAGUUUUAAGUUUAUUACUUUACAAAUGUGUGGUUAGAAAUGUCUUCAACCUUUUCCUUUGGUUGCAUCGAUCCCAUUAAUCAGCACCAGUCCAAACAGCAGAAAAUAUUUAAUCAAAUUCAUUUGAACCUGUUGGGAAUGGCACUAAAGUAUAACUAAUUUUUAUCAGUUUAUUCAAAGGAUGCUAACAUUUCUGUCUUACCUUGCAAGUUGGCUGUUCUCCUAACUAAGACUGAGGUGGGAGUUUAACUGUGCCUAAACGGUCAACGCUGUCCACUUUUAUACGCCGAAAAAUUCGGCUGCGUUCGGAAGUCAAAGACCGAGUCACCGGUUAAAGAAUAGAAACGAAAGUGACUCGUGAUAGACGCGUGAAAAAUCUGAAUUUUUUUUAACCAUUUGCGCUUAUUCUUCAAAAAGUCUUUCUUGUCCAGCGUAACGGCCCUCAAUAUCAUCGCCACGAUUUGUGUGACUCGCCCUUUCACAUUGUGUCUGACAGAGGGAAAAAACCGGACUCACCCAAUUUCCUUAAACCAUUUUCCAUUGUGAUUCUACGAAGAAAUAUCCUUACGUAACGUCACACAGAAGACGUUGUCAAAAGGAGUAUUGAAAAGUGAGAGUUAGUCUAGAAUCUGAGACGACUUUUCUAUAAGGACAAAAGGGUCGUUAAUGUCCCCAGGAUUAUAAGGACAAUGGUUAUGACAGUUAAUCCUAUUGGCUGCUUGAAAUUCAUGAAAACAAAACGAGGAGAAAAAAAAGCAGCCACAUUUGUGAUAGAAAAAGAAAGGUUGUCGCAAAAGAUUCACCCGAAACUAACCAUCUGAUGAUUGGCCAGGCUAGAGUCAGCCGUAAUAACUAAAGGGAAAAACCCUAUUCCCCAAUUUCCCAUUUGCAAACCAAACCACGAAUGACUCACUUUAAAAAAAGCUUUGGAUGUAUCUGUGGCCUAAAAAGACUUCAUUGCGUUGGUGUUAGCUCCAACGUCGUGAGCACGAAUCGCCGGCCAACAACCACAGACAAAUGUGUUUAAGACUUACGAAAGUAAAAGAGAUAGUCACUUUUACCAUCUUCUAUUCUUGGUAGAAAGAAAUUGAAUUGGGCAUGAGUUAACCUGAUAUUCGUGUCUAAAAGGGAUAGUAGUGAACCAACGUUUUCGUUUUACACGGUCGUAAUUGACUCUGUAUUAGUGACAUAAGGGCAAUUACAUCAAACAAGACGGUUAAGAAAACUAAAAAUUACAAACCACUUCAAGUGGUAGAUACACUAUGAAGAUUAUCUAAUUCCAAAAAUCUUCGGCAUUAGGAAAAUUACUGAGAAACGAAGGUGGUGCGUAAUCGCUUCCGGUCGAUUCUCCAUGUCCUGCGAAACCUCCGUAACCACCAUCCUGUGAUGAAUAAGAUUCCGCUGGAUGGCUGUAUUGCUGACUAACGUAUCCUUCGCCGCCCUUAUUGUGGCCUUUGUGGUGCCCUUUGUGAUGGCCCUUGUGAUGACCUUAUCAUAAACAUUUAGAAAUGAUCGUUAAAAUGUCUCAGAAAGGCGUAAAGAAUACGGGCAAGUUAACACAACACAGUCGAUUUCUGCAACAGAUUAAUGUUUUGUUGCAGGUGCUAACCUUUUCCGCCUUCUGCUCCGUAUCCUACACCUCCGUAUUCACCUCCACCAUAUUCACCUCCGCCUUUAUUAUGUCCUUUAUGAUGUCCCUUAUGAUGGCCCUUGUGAUGUCCUGUAUUAUGACCUAUAGUGAACAAUCAGGCGAAUUAAAUAACGGUCAACAGAUAAUGUUAUUCACUUGGCUUUUUGAGAGUUUAGUUGAUUACCUUUGUCAUCACCAUAAUUCAUUCCUCCGUGUUCUCCGCCGUAGCUUACUCCACUGUAGCCUCCCCCACUGUAGUCUCCCCCGCCAUAGUCUCCUCCACCAUAAUCUGAACCUGAUAAUAAACCGU